This 465-nucleotide ribosomal RNA is filed under the name uncultured bacterium. Its description in RNAcentral is "bacterial SSU rRNA". It matches the Rfam family "Bacterial small subunit ribosomal RNA", at positions 338 to 795 of the family's 1533-position model. The record is from RNAcentral.
CCUACGGGCGGCUGCAGUAGGGAAUCUUCCGCAAUGGACGAAAGUCUGACGGAGCAACGCCGCGUGAGCGAAGAAGGUCUUCGGAUCGUAAAGCUCUGUUGUUAGGGAAGAACAAGUACGGGGGGAAAUGACCGUACCUUGACGGUACCUGACGAGGAAGCCACGGCUAACUAUGUGCCAGCAGCCGCGGUAAUACGUAGGUGGCAAGCGUUGUCCGGAAUUAUUGGGCGUAAAGCGCGCGCAGGCGGUCUUUUAAGUCUGAUGUGAAAUCUUGCGGCUCAACCGCAAGCGGUCAUUGGAAACUGGGAGACUUGAGUGCAGAAGAGGAAAACGGAAUUCAACGUGUAGCGGUGAAAUAAGUAGAGAGAUGGAGGAACACCAGUGGCGAAGGCGGCUUUCUGGUCUGUAGCUGACGCUGAGGCGCGAAAGCGUGGGGAGCAAACAGAAAUAGAUACCCUAGUAGUC